UACGUAGGGUGCAAGCGUUAAUCGGAAUUACUGGGCGUAAAGCGCGCGUAGGCGGCUUUGUAAGUUAGAGGUGAAAGCCCGGAGCUCAACUCCGGAACUGCCUUUAAGACUGCAUCGCUUGAAUCCGGGAGAGGUGAGUGGAAUUCCGAGUGUAGAGGUGAAAUUCGUAGAUAUUCGGAAGAACACCAGUGGCGAAGGCGGCUCACUGGACCGGUAUUGACGCUGAAGUGCGAAAGCGUGGGGAGCAAACAGG
This 253-nucleotide ribosomal RNA is filed under the name uncultured bacterium. RNAcentral's name for it is "partial 16S ribosomal RNA". It matches the Rfam family "Bacterial small subunit ribosomal RNA", at positions 524 to 776 of the family's 1533-position model. The record is from RNAcentral.